Podarcis lilfordi (Lilford's wall lizard) is the source of this 5681-nucleotide non-coding RNA. The record is from the annotation of a GenBank genome assembly. NCBI's taxonomy places the organism in Eukaryota, Metazoa, Chordata, Lepidosauria, Squamata, Lacertidae.
AAAAGAUUGGACAGUGAGAAAGCGGGAGUGACAAUCAGCAAAGUCUGGAGAUCAAUGGGUGCGAAAAUGGUGAGAGGACCAACAGGCAGCCCCCCAGAAGAGGAAGGCGAAAGCAAGGAGACCCCGAGACUACGUUGUACAGAUCUCCUAAGUCCUGAAUGGCAGCAGGAAAAGGAAGAAGAAGAGGGGUCUCUACAAGAGCAGCCUGGCAUCAAUAAUUCACCUGCAGAUGCUGCGGAGGGGCUGUGGCCUCCGUCUGGUGACAACAAAGAAGAACACCUGGAGCCCAGAGUGAAUGAGGCCAGUGUGAAAAAGAAUAUUAAGAAGACCCCCUCAUGCCUUGGUCUCCGUUCCCUCAUCUCCAGGGACCAGAAGGUCUUCAAAAAAGCACCACUACCUGAACCCAGCACCAGCAGGAGCAGGGCGCAAUCAAAGAGGAGGCUGCUGGGCAUGAGGCUGAGGCACUGGAUACGCCGGCACAGCGGCUGCGUGUGUCACGGCUAAAAAUUGGGCACUCCCCGUAAAAAGAGUGCUUGUGUUUCCUUAGGUUCCCUUAGAUUCCCUCCUAGGACAAUCCUUUUAGCUAUGAAUAUUUUCCGGCGGGGGGGGGGGACAGAAAUACAGCCUGCUGUGGGUCGGGGCAGAUGCUGCUAAGCCACGCCCCCAGGCUCGCGGUCUCCUAAGAAGCCUUCCCUCCUCACUGCUCCAACCUGAACUCUCCUCAUCCUGCGCGUGGGAGAUUCCUGCUCUCUUCCCUUAUGGUGCUUUAACUAGACUUGGGACUGGACAGCUCUUCAAGCUGACAACUGUUUCAAAGAGAGGACUGACAGCUCUUCAGUUAGGGGACUGUGCACUGCAAAGUAGGGGACACACCCUAAUAAAACAGUAAUAUGGUUUCCAGACAGGGAUGUCUACUUGAAUAAAAUACUGAGGCGGGGCAGGCAAGCCCAACCUCACAUAACUGAUCACAAGACACACAACUGAAUGCCAUGUCCAUCAAUUUUGGGCCCCUGGCCCCCUCAAAUAUGUUAAGGGAUCUUGGCCCCUAGGUGUUGGCUCUUAUGUUUCCAGACCCUUUAUAAAAUUGUUUGCCCUCCUCUGCACACGUUUCAGCUUUUCAAUAUCCUUCUUAAAUCGUGGCAGAACUGGAUACAGGACUCCAGGUGGGGUUUGACCAAAGCAGAAUAGAGUGGGACUAUUAUUUUCCUUGAUCUGGAUACUAGACUUUUUUCGAAGCACCCUCCCUUGUUUUUUUGCUGCUGCAUCACACUGUUGGCUUAUGUUAGGCUUGUAGUCUACAAGACCCCUAGAUUCUUCUCACAUGUACUGCUAUCAAGCCAGGUAUUCCCCAUCCUGUAUUUCUGAAUCUGAUUAUACCUGCCUAUGUGCUGAACCUACUGUCCCUACUGAAAUUCCUUUUGUUAAUUUUGCCUAGUAGAACUGCAGCUACCCUGAGUUGCAGCCAACAUGACCAGAGGUCAGGGACUGAUGGAAAUUGGAGCAACCUCUUCAAACACACAGAUCCUCCUCCCUGCAUGGAGAGUAUUUGCAUCACAGCGAAGACUGUCUGAGAGUUUUUCUUGCCAAUGAUGCAGUGGUGGUGCUUCCCAAGUCAGUGGUGAAGCACAUUGUCUGGUUGCUGUGAGGGGAGCUUUGCUUCCCCGCCAUGCAAUUGCCGUAGCUGCUCCAAAGAGAGGCACAGACGUUAUUUUUCCACAGCUGUUAAUAAAUAAGAUGUUAACAAUAAAGAAUAAGAUGAAAUGAAGUCAGGAAGCUCUUUUCCAAAAAACAAGUGAGCAAAUGGAGGCAGCUCCUUUUCCCUGCCGUUCCAUGAUUAAUAGAUUCUGUGAUUCAUCAUCAUAAUAGGCUGGUGAUCAAAAUUGCCCACCUCUGGCAGACACACCAUCUAAUAAACAUUCGCUGCAAAUUUCACUCUGAUAUCCGUUUCCUGCUGUGAUAAUAAAGAGUGACUUGCUUGGAAAACAGCAUCCUUUUACAUUCUGGAUGCCACAUAUAUCAGCCUCCCAUGGGGGCUCCUGCAGCCGUCAAUGUGGUGAAACAGCGAGGCUUGGAAGCGGAGAGAGCAGAACGGCUAGGAUUCCAGAACAAAGAACUGCCAGGCAGCGGGGGCACUGCACGACCCCACUGGGAAAUAGGAGGCAAGGACAAAGGAAAGAAGACCACUGGAAGGGGAGAAGUGUUUGCCGUCCACUUUGUUUAUCUUUAGCUCCCUGCCUCAGCUGUGGCAAUUGCCUACCCAAAGUACAUGCGCAUGGGCUGCUUAGAUUCCGGCUCUUGGAACAUUUGCUGCAUCAGAUGCUAAUCUCCAUUUUAGCGGUGUGAUCUUCUGCCAUUGCCUGGCUUCUCAUCAGGCUUUCCUUUUCUUAGUUAUUCCCUCAUGCAGUUGUAUGCACUUGGCCGAAGCACCUAUUUAAGCUCCUAAGAUCAUUGGCUUCAUAUCAGAAAGCAAUUUACGAUGUUCUUCGGCAAAAUAGGGAGCUCGCUGGACCCUGCAGAACAGAUGGCAGGGAGUGUUUCUCCAGGAUAGCCCUGAAUUUCUAAUAUUGCCUACGGGUCUCACUCUGUUAGGAUCUCAGUGAUUCUGCAGACCAAGAAUUGCAGGUCAGUAGUUCACAAUAGUGCCUUAAUUGUUGGUUGAUCUCUCUCUCUCUCUCUCUCCCUCCCCCCCCCCCCACAAAACAUUGAUGUGAUUUAAACAACUGUUGCUGAAAUUAUGAUGACUCCAAUAAACUGUUUCUACUCAGAAAUGGCAGUGCAAAAAAAAUCUCCCUGCGCCUGUCCAAUCAAUGCUGCACAGCUCUCCUGAUUUCCUAUCAGCAGAAUAUGUCAUGACUUAACAAGCUUCAUUGUGUAUAGCAGUGGUGGUGAACAUCUGAGCCCUGGGCCAAAAUAAUCCUGGCAAUUUGGUCCACAAGACUGCUUUCCACAAAACCUUGUCCACAAUGUGGGACAGGUAGGGGCACGGCUGGGCCAGCUGCACGGCCACUGAGCUACAGCCUCUCCUUGACAAGCCCAAUAACAACCCAGAGAGUUUCAUGGGAAUUUGCACCCAGGACGCAGGUGGCGCUGUGGGUUUAAACCACAGAGCCUAGGACUUGCCGAUCAGAAGGUCGGCGGUUCGAAUCCCCGCGAGAGGGUGAGCUCCCGUUGCUUGGUCCCUGCUCCUGCCAACCUAGCAGUUCGAAAGCACGUCAAAGUGCAAGUAGAUAAAUAGGUACCGCUCUGGCGGGAAGGUAAAUGGUGUUUCCGUGCGCUGCUCUGGUUCGCCAGAAGCGGCUUAGUCAUGCUGGCAACAUGACCCGGAAGCUGUACGCCAGCUCCGUCAGCCAAUAAAGCGAGAUGAGUGCUGCAACCCCAGAGUCGGUCACGACUGGACCUAAUGGUCAGGGGUCCCUUUACCUUUAAUUUAUUAGCAGCUUGCCCUUGACAUAUGUGGAGUUUGCAGAGGCUAUGCAAUGAUAGUCUAGUGGGAUCAGCUGACUGGAAACCGUCCAGUUUACGAUGAGUCUAUGUGGUGUAAUGGUUAGAGUGCUGGGCUAGGAUCUGGAGGCCAGACUUCAAAUCACUGGGAGACCUUGGGCCAGUCACUGUUCCUUAGCCUUGCCUGCCUUACAAAGCUGUUGUGAGGACAAAAUGGGAGGAGGAGAACCUUGGAAACAUGGGAUGUAAAUGUGGUGGACUCCAUAGUCGAAGCUCAUCAGACAAGCUGGUGUUCAUUGAGUUCAACCUCUUCAGGCUAAUUAGUUUUGCUUUAUUGUCAACAGGCUGUGCCAGUGAAAGUCAAUGCAGAGACUAUUUGCCUGAAUUGGCCCAUAAAGUUGUGAUGAUUCAGCAGUCUUGCCAAAAGAAUCCGACUGGGCUUUUUCUUAAUCUUCCCAGUAAUUGCCUGCCUUUCUCUUCUAAAUGCUAGUGCUUUGCACUGUGAUACAUCUUCGGCCUUGUAUUGAGGAAUGCCAACUUCUCUACGGAGCAGAAGCGCCUUGAAGUUUUCUUCCUAAAAAAUGCUGAAGGGCAUGUCUCUUGCGCAUUGCUGACCGGCUUGGCUUUACAGCAAUCUUUGUAUUGUCACAGUGACUCACAAAACUCAGGACCUCAAGCUCCCACCCUGCUCCCACAGGAAGCUCCUAACUCUUCCCCCGGCUCAGCCUUGGCCUAUAAGGUACUCUCAAUAUUGUUCUUUUCCUUCCAUUGCAUUGCUGUCUUGUCAAUAUACUUUUCUGCCAGUCAGCACAUGACUGCCUCAGUCCUGGGUAAAUGCACAAAUCUCUGCCAAACCUUUUCAGCUCUUAUUUACAACACCUGCUACUGGUUUUCUCUAGAGCAUUUCCUGCUAAGGUUAAGCCUCCUUUUUCUCUCUCACCUUCAACCUGCAAUUGGUAUUAAGAUCUGCAGUUUAAAAGCUUGGAGCUUGAUUUCUAUCUACAGACUUAUCUUUACUGUGAACAGUACACUUCCCAAGUGCAUUAAUACAUCUAGACAGAGGAUAGCCGAGGGUAAAGAUUAUAUUGAUGAAGCCUUGGUCCUAUUGAAAUCAAGAUGUUGUUUUUUUUAACUUUAAUUCCAGUAGGAGAAGCAGAGAAGUGACCAAACAUAUGGGAAUAUUUUUUGUUAGUUUUUUCAUCCUUACAAUAUAAUUGCAUUAACUUAUUUAAUUUCUGUUUGCAUAAGCAGCAAACUUUCAGUUUCACACAUCUGCAUGCCACGUUAGGUUUUUAAAGGCCUGGAAAGUUUUUAAAUAUUGCUACUUUUCUAGGAUGCCUAAAAGUAAAGGCUGUUGCAUCAUUUUCUCAAUCCCACUUCAGCCAUACCCACAUUCAUAGUUUGGCUGCAUCCACUUUGACCUGAGAGCCUAGACCAGAGGAUUAGCCAUAGGUCUGAGAAAGGUUAGCUGCCCGUUGCCUAAAGACAUGGCAUGAGAGGGGAAACGAACGAGGAAGAAAGAGGAAAACAGAAAACUCGGGUACCAUUUCUUUGAGUUGCAAUUACCAACUGAAUUGGAAACAGUUCAGGGCCAGCAGGAGUCUGAUGGAGAAGGGGAAGUGGGCUUUCAGUGGAGGUGAUAGAAGGGACCCUGCUCCGCAACUGCUCCAUCUCUGCAAUUCUAUUCACAGGAUAAUGGCUUCUGAAAAGCAUGGCAGAGCACCUGCAGGAGGAGUAAUGAGUCCACACCUGCUUCUGCACCAAAGAACAUCCUGAGGCUAAACAUAACAGCAGGUGAAUAACAACGCUGGCAUAAAAAGUGCAAGAGCAAAAGACGGCGGCGUAUUGGACAACAGCAAACUAACUUCAGACAAGUUAAUCUUUAAAUGUUCUGACAAAUAGGGGGUCAUGUAUGCAGAAUGAAGUUCUUGUUAUGGUUUUCUUUUCUUCUUUUUUCUUUAUGACUGGCUCUUGGUUGUGGUGACAUUUUCUGCUAAGGUGUCUCACGUGUUGAUGCCGUGUUCCUUUGAAGGAUGCCUCCUCUAUAUUGUAACUAUAAUGUGCAGUGCUUUUUUUCUAAGAAAACAUUUAGGGUUACUCUCAUUUUGACUCAGGAAAAUCACCAUUUUAUAGUUCAAAUCGGGAAAAAUAAAUAUAGUAAAUGGACAAAAAUACAAGGAUUCACAAAAUGUUUAGAGGUAUGCGUACCCCUGUGUACCCACCCAGGAAAAAAGCACUGA